UUACAUUACAUUUCCCAGGGCUAAGCCAUGAAAUUGAAAACAGAAUCUAGGCAUGGCACAGUUAAGUCCGACUAUUCCCAUGGGUCAUGAGACUAUUUAUUCUUAUUCCCUGACAACACACAAGUUUGUUUGGGCAGUUUUCAAAAAUACCAGUGGCAAUUAAGUUAAAUGUAAUUAAAUUAGUCAUGGAGAAUCAACAAUCAGUUUUCUCAGCAACUGGAAAAAAGUUGCACAAGAGGGGUAGAAUGUAUUUAUUAAAAAUAACUGUCGUUCACUUUCCCUUCCAAACUAGAGGGGUUUACAAAAUACACAAAAGCUUACCAAAAGUCACAACAUAUUAAUAUAUCCAGAUAAUAUGAAUGACAUUCAAAACAUAUUUGGUGUCAUUUCAGGGGAAGAUUCUUCACAAUUUUUGCUGAAUAACUAGGGCCACAAGCAAUUUUAUUAGUGCUGGCUGUUUUCAUGGGGGAUUUGUGAGGCAAAGGAUCUUAGGAAGUUCAUUCUAAAACCUGAUCAAGUGCAAAUUCUGGGUUGUUUAGCCAAGGCACUUCUUAAAAUUUCCUCCCUAACGAGCACCCUCUCUGCAGCUUCCCUCACAAAGAUUAGAGCAGCUUCCCAAUGAAAUAACUGCAGGAAGACCAAAAGUGGCAGCCCUCUAGGCAACAGACAGAGAGCUGUGAUGUCAAAGCUGUGGUAACCUUAGUAAGUGUGACAUUUACUGGGCAGAAUGUGAAUUCCUAUUCUGUUGCAACACAAAGGCAGAGAGGCACAUCUUUUUUCUUUUGCCCAUACGUUUGGAGCCAAAGGCAAAACCAAAGAGAAUACAUUGUCAGCUAUGAUCAAGCAGAAUUUGAAAUCCUACAGCUGGGCAGUGCCCUGUCUUCUGAUUUCUAUCUGUUUGGCUGUUUAUGCUGGUGUUGGAAAUGCAGCCAAGGAGAACAGAGCUAUCUCAACCCAUUCACCUGCCGCUUCCCCCACGACAGUGUUUCACACACACGGAAUGAGUCUUGUGUCUCCAUCUGUGUCCCAGAGUCCAAGCAGAGAAAAAGCCAAAGAGGGUGAAACGGUGACCCUUGGAUGCCGGUUCCAAAGUUCCCAUGGCUCAUCUUUGAAUAACCUAACAGUGAAAUGGUACAAGGAGGAUGAAAAAGGGUCGAGGGACCUAAUGGAGAACAACAUCACUGUAUUGGCAAACUACACCAGAGCAUUCCUGACAGGGGAGUUAUCUGAAGGCGAUGCAUCUUUGACUAUCUUCAAUGUGACAACCAGCGAUCAUGGCACUUAUUUCUGCCAGGUGACCCUUUCCAAUGGAGAGGUGGUGACAGGAGGUGGCACAAAGCUCAGGAUCCGCAGGGCGCUGGGAUUGUUUGGCAUAGAAGAAUCCAUUGGAACAAUCAUUGGCGUGGUGGCAGCUGGCAUUGGAGGCUUGUUAGUUCUAAUAGUAGUUUUAACUCCUCAGCUGAGGAAGUGCCUUCCAUGUGCUAAAGCAACGUCAAACCAAGCAUAACUUGGACAGCAUGGUUAAAGUAAUUGCCAGAUGUGCCACCGACUAUAUAGUUUUCUGAAUGUUUUCCAUCUUGAUCUUUUGCUGUCCUUCUUCUUCCCCUCCCCCUCUUGUAUGCCCCUUUGGGUUUCUCCCUUCUUACUCUCACUUUAUGAAUGGUGCGUUGGUUAAAUGAGCCCUGUUGAAGGGUCAGUGCCUGGAGCAAAAACAAAAAUCCAGACUGGCCUUGCCUC
Podarcis raffonei (Aeolian wall lizard) is the source of this 1737-nucleotide RNA transcript. RefSeq lists it as uncharacterized. NCBI's taxonomy places the organism in Eukaryota, Metazoa, Chordata, Lepidosauria, Squamata, Lacertidae. The transcript has 5 exons. The record is from RefSeq and is a predicted model, not a curated record.